AGUAAAGUCAGCUAAUAAAGCUAUCGG
RNAcentral lists this transfer RNA (27 nucleotides) under Sceloporus graciosus (sagebrush lizard). RNAcentral's name for it is "partial tRNA-Met". The record is from RNAcentral. RNAcentral also lists the same sequence under 1 other name. Lineage: Eukaryota; Metazoa; Chordata; Lepidosauria; Squamata; Phrynosomatidae.